AUCGUGGAAAGCCAAAGUAAGGAGAAGCCAGAGGUCAGAGUAAACGAUGGGAUAAGCCAAGGUCAGGAGCGAGAUCAAACUAGAGAACACACGAUCAGGACACACAAUAAUGAGAACCAGAGUCAAUGAAAGGACACUACCCUCAGAGAGAGGCAGUGUUUUAUAGCUGGCUAAUUAGCGAUAUGCUUCAGGUGGACCUAGAUAGACAGAAGCAGCCACAGGAAAAGUCCAGGACCCAGUGC
Non-coding RNA from Pelobates cultripes (western spadefoot toad), 242 nucleotides. The record is from the annotation of a GenBank genome assembly. Lineage: Eukaryota; Metazoa; Chordata; Amphibia; Anura; Pelobatidae.